This 2680-nucleotide long non-coding RNA is filed under the name Homo sapiens (human). RNAcentral's name for it is "HSALNT0323048". The record is from RNAcentral. Lineage: Eukaryota; Metazoa; Chordata; Mammalia; Primates; Hominidae.
CUCUUUCCGCAUCUUUCCCUCACUCUCUGUCUCUCACCACUCACCCUUCCACAGGAGCCUUACUAUACAGAGAGACAUGAGAGUUUCCAUGUACUCAGGUGUUUGCCGUACUGAUAUAUUCCUGCUCCCUCUGCAUAAAUUUCACAUAGAACAUUCCAAGGAGCCCCAGCCUCUUUUCACAUGUGCCUCCACUCCUUAGUAAUUAGAGAAAUCUGAAACAAAUCAUUCAUAUCUUGGAGUGUAUGUUUGAUAGCCCACACCAUAUCCCCUAGACUAAGAAAGAGACUGGUUUUAGAGUACAGUUACUCAAUCCUGACAAGCCAUUUAGCCAUUUACAGAAUUAAAGAGACUCCAAGAGGCUGGAGUUUGGAGGUUAUACCUGACUAAAUUGAGAGGAAGCAUGAGAUUGAAGGUUACUAGGAGGAAGAGUAUACUUGAUUUUUUGAUUUGCUUUGCUUUUUCUUCUCAGUCUUGUUUUAUAAAUUUUGAAGCCCUUUUAUUUACAACUUCUCUGUAGGAAUGGUUGUUGAUCUACAAGCUCUUAGAAUAUAGACAGUGUUAGCUGUGCUUAAGCAGGUUACUCCCUUCAGCCAGGUCAAAACAUUACCCAGAGCAGAAAAUGCAUCAUUUCAUGACAGCACUUCUGGAAAAGUGGGAAAGGAAAAUGGUACACAGAGGAAGUUGCCAUCAAAAGCACACAAAGGAAACAGCAAGCAGACAAGGGAAUAACCUUUCUUUGAAAUAAGGCAAAAUGAGAUAUUUACAUUACUUUAAGACAUUUAAAGAGAACUUUUACUGGUACAAUUUUCCUGAAUAAGGGAAUCCUUAGAAACUUUGUCAUAGAAACAUUUCUUUGCAGAAUAGGAAAAGAGUUUCAGGACUUCCCCCAGCAGCCCACCACCCGAGAUUCAAAUAACCUCAAGUUAUUUGAGUCAGAGACCAGUUCAUGCUUUGAGGAGAGAUGUUUAAAUCUGUGGGGGCUUUUUGCAACAAUAUUGUCACAGGUUGGCCUUAGUAAACCUACACAUCUUAUCAAGCACAAUGUCUUCCAGAACAUUUUUCCCAGGGAAAAAUAUCUCAGAAAUCAGUCUCAGAAAUCAAAAGCCCUGCAUUUGCCUACACUAAUUAGUUCUAGGAAUGGGGGCAGGGGAGGGGGAAGAAGGGAAGUUUCAAGAAUGCUACAUACAAGACAUGAUUGUUUGGCUAAUCAGUAGAAAGUUGAAAAUAUUCACCAAAGGGUGUGGGAAGCCUUUCUUUGGAAACAGCAUCUCCAUUUCAUGUCACUGAAUUUUAAAUGAUGUGUACCUAUUGCAAAAAGUCUCAAAGCUUUUAAUUUUGCCUCUUUCCCUGCCACCAAAAGCUCCUGCCAGUGGGUGAGCCUUUCUGAUGGAAAAUGAGCAAACGCUUAAAUGAAUGUGUCUCCUCUUGAACGGCUUUGGAGAAUCCAAUAGGACCUUCUGCUUUAGACAAGUGUUUGAUUUUUAAAGAGGCAGGAACAAUAACAACUUACUGUUCUGGAAAGAUAAUGACCUAUCUCAAAGAAGGGUCAAGGAAAUAGUAAAUAAUCUUCAACAGAAAAGGGAAAAUCUAGAGAAAGUAGAAAAUGGGGAUGGUAUUACAUCCUCCAAAUCGCCACCUCCCGCCUAAAGGAGGAGGAAAAAGUCCAUACACUCAUGAGGACCUCCUCAUGUCCCUCUUCAUAGGAACCGAGCGCUCCUCUAGGGAUUUUCUUGUUCCCAGGAGGUGAUCAGAGUUAGGAAUUACACUUACUGACCUGGACCUCGCGUUUUUGCGGAGACGCGGAAACAAGAUGUGUGCAGUCCGUCUGUCCGAUGAUUAGCCAGCCGACCUGGAGAGGGCCCUGGAAGGUGCCCAAAGGAGCAGAGAUGGGGAGCUGGAUCCGCGCAGAACCCCGGAAAAGCGCCAGCAGGAUUGCACCGAGAACAAAUCCUCCGCACCCUCGCCCAGGGCUGGGGCGCAGUGCGCUGGUGCUCCUCUAGCUGGGCGGUCCCUGUGCUCCAAACGAGAAGAUAGCUGACUUCCGAAUCCUUCACUCUUUGAUCCUGACCCAAGCCACUCGUGCCACUAGGAGCGCAUGCCUAUGGAAUACUCGCUCCUGUCUCCUUGUGGUGAAGCCUUCCGCUAAUGCCCAGAGCCUCCCAGGCUGGAUUAGUGGGUAGGAGCAAAACAGGAUAGUGGAGACAAUCAGCAGAGCAGCAGCGUCUAUUUCCUCGGGAUUCCUCCCAGGAACCCUAUUCGAAGCCAUUCCUUCUAAAAGUUUGCAGCCAGUCUCUCUUUCCUUUGUUGGUUUUAAGAGGAGGCAGUAGAGCUACCUACAUACAAAAACGAAAGCCUGAUACUGGUAACCUAAGUCUUUACUUAACCAUCCUCUUCGGAGGCUUUGCACACAUUACUUUUCCUCUAUGCAUUGUCAUUUCUGAAAUAAGGAUGGUCAUACUGGUGUGCUUGGAAUUUCUCUGAAAUAUACUCCUAAAAGAUUAGAUUAAGAUUAGAUUCCGCUACUCUAAAAUGAAAAAAAAUAUUUAUCUGUUUAAAAAGGUAAUACAUAUUCUCCAAGAUGUUAAUUAAAGGCUUCCCUCAAAUGGAUUGGAUUUUCAGUUCCUUCAGGGUUUUCCACACCCUAAUAGUAUUGCAUUUGUAAGGCAUUUUUACAGUGUAA